UAGGGUCAUACCACGUUAAAACACCGAUUCUCGUACGAUCACUGAAGUUAAGCAACAUCGAGCCUGGUCAGUACAUAGAUGAGCGGCAGCUUGCGAAUACUAGAUGCU
This is a non-coding RNA of Acanthosepion pharaonis, 108 nucleotides long. The record is from the annotation of a GenBank genome assembly. NCBI's taxonomy places the organism in Eukaryota, Metazoa, Mollusca, Cephalopoda, Sepiida, Sepiidae.